Molecule: ribosomal RNA, 285 nt
Filed under: Labyrinthula sp.
Lineage: Eukaryota; Bigyra; Labyrinthulida; Labyrinthulaceae
Description: partial small subunit ribosomal RNA
Rfam family: Eukaryotic small subunit ribosomal RNA
Source: RNAcentral
GUAUGGUCGCAAGGCUGAAACUUAAAGGAAUUGACGGAAGGGCACCACCAGGAGUGGAGCCUGCGGCUUAAUUUGACUCAACACGGGAAAACUUACCAGGUCCGGACAUAAGAAGGAUUGACAGAUUGAGAGCUCUUUCAUGAUUUUAUGGGUGGUGGUGCAUGGCCGUUCUUAGUUGGUGGAGUGAUUUGUCUGGUUGAUUCCGUUAACGAACGAGACCUCAGCCUGCUAAAUAGUUAUGCUAUUCUUGAAUAGCUUAGCUUCUUAGAGGGACUUUCCGGGUCU